CAGAGAGUGGUGGUAGACGGGUCGGUAUCGACCUGGAAGGGUGUGGGCAGUGGGGUCCCGCAGGGCUCGGUCCUUGGACCGACACUCUUCAAUGUCUUCAUCAGUGACUUAGACGAGGGAGUGAAGUGUACUCUGUCCAAGUUUGUGAGUGGUACAAAACUAUGGGGAGAAGUGGACACACCGGAGGGCAGGGAACAAGUACAGGCAGACCUGGACAGGUUGGACAAAUGGGCAGAAAACAAUAGAAUGUGAUUGAACAAGGAGAAAUGCAAAGUGCUGCACCUAGUGAGGAGAAAUGUUCAGCAUACCUACUGCCUAGGGAAUGACCUGCUGGGUGGCACAGAAGCGGAAAGGGAUUUUGGAGUCCUAGUGGACUCCAAGAUGAACAUGAGUCAGCAGUGUGACGAAGUCAUCAGCAAAGCUAACUGCACUUUAUUGUGCAUCAGCGGAUGCAUGACAAACAGAGCCAAGGAGGUGAUACUUCCCCUCUAUCAGGCGCUGGUCAGACCGCAGUUGGAGUACUGCGUGCAAUUUUGGGCGCCACGCUUCAAGAGGGAUGCGGAUAACCUGGAGAGGGUCCAGAGAAGGGCCACUCGUAUGGUCAAGGGCUUGCAGGCCAAGCCCUACAAGGAGAGACUGGGGCACCUGGACCUCUUCAGCCUCUGCAAGAUAAGGUUGAGAGGCGACCUUGUGGCUGCCUAUAAGUUCAUCCUGGGGGCGCAGAAGGGAAUUGGUGAGGCUCUACUCACCAAGGCGCCCCUGGGGGUUACAAGAAAUAAUGGCCACAAGCUAGCAGAGAGCAGAUUUAGACUGGACAUUAGGAAGAACUUCUUCAGUUAGAGUGGCCAAAGUUUGGAACGGGCUCCCAAGGGAGGUGGUGCUCUUCCCUACCCUGGGGGUCUUCAAGAGGAGGUUAGAUAGGCAUCUGGCUGGGGUCAUCUGAACCCAGCACACUUUCCUGCCUAUGCAGGGGGUUGGACUCAAUGAUUUAUUGAGGUCCUUUCCAGCCCUAACAUAUAUGAACCUAUGAAUCUAAGAGGUGGUGGAAUCUCCAUCCUUGGAGAUUUUUAAGACCCAGUUAGACAAAGCCUUGUCUGAGAUGAGAUGUUUGUGGCUGGUCCUGCUUUAAGUAGGGGGUUGGACUAGAUGUGACCUCCUGAGGUCCCUCCUAACCUCCAUGAUGAAUGCAUUCAUAUAAAGACCCAUACAGGGACACCACAGCUUCUUCCAUGAAACAAGUGGCUGGGCACUUGGUAUAACUUGAGGCCUGUCUCAUGGUCAGAGACAACCCAAUUAGGGUGCUGGGCCCCAGGGAAAUCAGCCUGUGCAGGGCCCUGCCCCUGGACAUGAGGAAGCCGGCGGUGGAUUCGGCAGCCCAGGGAGGGGGGGUUUCCGGGUGGCUAGAGUUGCUGCGUCGCUCUGCCCAGCUCCGCAGGGGCUCCCUAAAGUGCGGGGCUUGGGGCAGUCACCCUGAUUCAUCCCCCCCAGGGAUGGGCCUGCCCAUGGUACAAGGAUCUCUUUGUUACGGCCUGGAAGGUAGCUAGUUCAUUGCAGUACAAAGAUUGCAGUUCUGCUGCUGCCUGUGCAAGGGGCUUGGGGCUGUCGGGUCCUGCGACCGACUUCAGUGCUAUCAGGAUGUAGAGUCAUAGGAGUCCAGAAGGAAGGGACCUUAUACAUGCACAGACAGGACCCAGGCAUUUGGGCCACACACACACACACCCACUCCCAGCUGAUUGCUACUCACUGGUGGAGAAGGCAUGGUCCAGCCUGCUGCAUAUAAAAAUUGUGAAAGCUUGGACAGUGUACAAGACAAAGGCUGGGGCAAGACUGGAUCACAGUAACAAGACUGCCACAAGAAAAUCAAACUCUGCUAAUGGCUUGCAACCCAUUAGGCGUCAAGACAGUAGAGUGUUUGCAGUACCUAAUACCAGACCCAUGUCAUAAAAUAAUAACAGUGGUUAAAAUUGUUGGCAGAGACCCAAUGCGCUCAUCACAUGUGUGCACCUAAGAAAGCCCUUUAAGGAAAAGGCUGGGCCAGUGAAGGCAAGGAAACUAUAUACAGACAAGGUUCUUUGGGUGAAUCUGAUAUCUUUUAUUAGAUCAUCUUAAAAGUGUAGUUGGUCUAAUAAAACAUAUCAGUGUCACCCAAAGAACAUUGUCUGCCUGUGUCCUUAGACCAACACGGCUACAACCUACACCCCAGGAAACUAUAUAUGCAUUUCAACUGACCUAGCAGCUAAAGAAAACAAAAGGCAUCUCAAAAGAAACCUGUAAAAGGUGCACUGAAUGCAGGGAGGAUGUUCUAUAUGUGACAUCCUCACAUUUCUCAAAACAGGCAUCCAAUGUCACUCUAAGGCGUUACAGUGUCUCAAUCAUUCAAUGUAUAUCUGGAGUUCUGUAAGUAGACCAUCACUGGUACAAGCUACUGCAAAUUUGCCCCACUGCUAUACAAAUACCCCAAGAUAGGUUCAGUGACACCUCUUAGUAUCCUGUCUGACACCCAAGGCCCGUCAUCUGUGAUUGACCUAUAAUUGCAGGGACUGCAGAAACACAGUCUUUACACCUAGACAUUCAAGAACAGGAGCCAAACACUUAAUAGUUACGAUAUGAUGAUCAACCUUUUCCUCCAUUUUGUUUGGACUUUAAUCAGGCAAUCAUCAAGGAAAAAUGAUGUUUUGAAGCUAUACAAUUAAACAGUAUAAGAACUAAGCAGGACUGCCAGCAAAGUGUGCAUAGUCCAAAAAGUCAUUCUGCCACCCAGCCAACAAGUGAAGGACCCACGCUUUCAGGCUGUACAAGAACUGCUUCCUGCCUGCAAAGGGUGAAAGUUGAUCCAAGCGCAGAGAAGACUCCUACACUGGAUGGGCAGCUUGCUUUUUAACAUGGUUCAUGACAAGUUUAGGGCUGAGGGGAAGCCAUCUUCUGCCCAACUUAGACUUCCUUCCUCAGUUCAGGUCAGGUCGAUGGGGGCAGCCGUCAUCCCCGGUCUUUUCCCCACAGAGAGCACAGGCAAUAGGGACAAACCUGCUGUCCAGGCUGAAGUCGCCCUGGCCACCACCAGGGGAGCUACCAUCAGUGCCAUGAGGGCCAGGAAGCCAAGUCUUACGCUGGUGCCAGUGCUGACGUUGCCCAUGGGAUCAUAAGGGAAAUUGUCACGGUUGUUGCUGACAGGGCUUCCCCCAAGUCCACGGCAUAACUUGUUGGGGGCUGCAAGGAGUUUGCCGAGGAGGACGCCAAGGCUGCUGUGGUUACCAAGAACGCCACCACCAAGGCCGCCAUGGUUGCUGCCACCAGGGUUGCUGCAGCUGCCACCUCUAAGGCUGCUACAGCUGCUGCCAGCAAGGUUGCCAGCAAGGCCACCAAGGUGCCUCCAGGGGAUGCCACUAUGGCCGACAAAGCUGCUGCCGAGGCUGCCGGGGCUCUCAUCAUUGCUGUUGAGGCCGCCAAAAUGGCAUAAUAUUAAAUUUAAUCCGACAGCAGCCACUGGGCAUUACUGUAACUGAUUUCUUUUAUACACCAUGAGCUAUUACUCAUUUUACCCGACUUGUGCGAUGUGCUGGGCAUCACGAUGCCAA
This is a long non-coding RNA of Alligator mississippiensis (American alligator), 3575 nucleotides long. RefSeq lists it as uncharacterized. NCBI's taxonomy places the organism in Eukaryota, Metazoa, Chordata, Crocodylia, Alligatoridae. The record is from RefSeq and is a predicted model, not a curated record. The transcript is spliced from 3 exons.